RNAcentral lists this ribosomal RNA (459 nucleotides) under uncultured bacterium. RNAcentral's name for it is "partial 16S ribosomal RNA". It matches the Rfam family "Bacterial small subunit ribosomal RNA", at positions 338 to 795 of the family's 1533-position model. The record is from RNAcentral.
CCUACGGGAGGCAGCAGGGAGGAAUAUUGGUCAAUGGGCGCGAGCCUGAACCAGCCAAGUCGCGGGAGGGAAGACGGUCCUAUGGAUUGUAAACCUCGUUUGUCGGGGAGCAAAAGACGCCACGCGUGGCGUUCCGAGAGUACCCGAAGAAAAAGCAUCGGCUAACUCCGUGCCAGCAGCCGCGGUAAUACGGAGGAUGCGAGCGUUAUCCGGAUUUAUUGGGGUGAAAGGGUGCGCAGGCGGAAGAUCAAGUCAGCGGGAAAAUUGAGAGGCUCAACCUCUUCGAGCCGUUGAAACUGGUUUUCUUGCGUGUGUGCGCAGUCUGCGGCAUGCGUGGUGUAGCGGUUACAUGCCUCGCUCUCACGCAGCACUCCGAUUGCGAAGUCAGCAUACCGGCGCUCAACUGACGCUCAUGCCCGACAGUGUGGGUAUCGAACAGGAUUAGCUACCCCAGUAGUC